ACUCCACGGGAGGCAGCAGUGGGGAAUAUUGCACAAUGGGGGAAACCCUGAUGCAGCAACGCCGCGUGGAGGAUGACGCAUUUCGGUGUGUAAACUCCUUUUAUAUGGGAAGAUAAUGACGGUACCAUAUGAAUAAGCACCGGCUAACUCCGUGCCAGCAGCCGCGGUAAUACGGAGGGUGCAAGCGUUACUCGGAAUCACUGGGCGUAAAGCGCGCGCAGGCGGCCCGAUAAGUUGGAUGUGAAAGCCUAUGGCUCAACCAUAGAACUGCAUCCAAAAUUGUCGGGCUAGAGUCUGGGAGGGGAAGAUGGAAUUAGUUGUGUAGGGGUAAAAUCCGUAGAGAUAACUAGGAAUACCAAAAGCGAAGGCGAUCUUCUGGAACAGUACUGACGCUGAGGCGCGAAAGCGUGGGGAGCAAACAGGAUUAGAUACCCUGGUAGUCCACGCCCUAAACGAUGAAUGUUAGUCGUUGGAGUCCUAGUGACUUCAGUGAUGCAGCUAACGCAUUAAACAUUCCGCCUGGGGAGUACGGUCGCAAGAUUAAAACUCAAAGGAAUAGACGGGGACCCGCACAAGUGGUGGAGCAUGUGGUUUAAUUCGAAGAUACGCGAAGAACCUUACCUGGCCUUGACAUUGAUGGAACCUGCUAGAGAUAGCGGGGUGCCCUUCGGGGAGCCUGAAAACAGGUGCUGCGCGGCUGUCGUCAGCUCGUGUCGUGAGAUGUUGGGUUAAGUCCCGCAACGAGCGCAACCCUCGUCACUAGUUACUAACGGUUCGGCCGAGGACUCUAGUGAGACUGCCUUCGCAAGGAGGAGGAAGGUGAGGACGACGUCAAGUCAUCAUGGCCCUUACGGCCAGGGCAACACACGUGCUACAAUGGGUAGGACAAUGAGACGCGAUACCGCGAGGUGGAGCAAAUCUAUAAACCUACUCUCAGUUCGGAUUGUAGUCUGCAACUCGACUGCAUGAAGCUGGAAUCACUAGUAAUCGUAGAUCAGCUAUGCUACGGUGAAUACGUUCCCGGGUCUUGCACUCACCGCCCGUC
Molecule: ribosomal RNA, 1045 nt
Filed under: uncultured Campylobacterota bacterium
Lineage: Bacteria; Pseudomonadati; Campylobacterota
Description: bacterial SSU rRNA
Rfam family: Bacterial small subunit ribosomal RNA
Source: RNAcentral